AACUUUUCAUUCAAAAUUUUAGAUAUCUAAUUUUCUCUCUCUCUUUUGAUCAGAAAGCUUGAUUCGAUUUGCGCUUGGUCUCUCUAUGACGAUCUGAAAUCUCAGUUUUGGAUCUUCAAUCCAGAGCUUUGUUCUCUUUUUCUCGAUCUCUGGCACCAUCGCUCUUCGCCUUGAUCACGUCACUUUUUCUUCUUCUUCGUCUUUCGCCGUGAUCAAGUUGAAACACGUCGCCCUCGGCGAGAAUGGAAGGAUUGAAAUUGCAAGGAUCAGAUUAUGAACAAGGCGAGGUCCUACUCGUUCAGCCAGAAGGCCACCAAGGAGAUCUCCUCAGUCGACGAUGACAUCAACAUAAGCUCGCAUCUCUCUCCAUUUUGAUUCAACUUGUUUGAUCUGGUUUCGCAAUCCUGAAUUGUUGUGUUUUGGAUCAGAAAUUUGAAUACUUUAGAUACUUAAUUGAGUCAUUAGGUUAAUUCAUUUAAUUAUUGUUUAAUUGAAUCUUAGGAUGAUUGAUUUCCCUGUUAUAUGUGUUAAGAUGAUUGAAUCUUAGCUGUAACGCAUGAAAAUUGUAUGGUCUUGCUUCCCUUGUUGAUGGGAUUUUUGUUAUAAUUCAUCAACAAAUUUCUUUGUAUUGGCAUGUUCUGCCUCAUAAUCGCCAAGUCAGUUACUUUCUGAGAUUGUGGCUUCAAAACUGUGUAACCAUAGAGGGAAUGGAAAGGUCGUAUUUGAUGCUGCCAGCUAUGUCAUUUAUUUAGCUCAUUUUCAAACCUGACAUGAUGUGUUUAUGGUGGUUCAAGUCUGGUGUGAGAUGUUGAUAUAUUAUUCAACUUCUUUUCUUGAUAAUUAUAUACAAGGGGGUUUAUUAGUACGUUGCAGUAUCUCUUUGCUUUAUAGGCUUGUCAAAAUUAUGGAUUGUUUUACAUCUUUAGCAUAUAUUAGGCGUUGUCAAAACUAGGUACUAGAACAUACAUGCCAGGCCUAAAAGUGUUUUGAAGUGUGGCUCAAUUGAAAAUUAUGUUUUUUGUUAUGAAGGAAGUCUGUCUACAUGAAGCCAUUGUUUUUUAGUGCUUGGAAGAAUUAUAGUUGAUGCUUAUCAUUCUUUGAAUUGGUUUAGUAGAAUUUUCAAACUAAUGGGCAUUGUUGGAUCAAUCAUUUUUAGGAACAUAAUCAGCUAACUUUGAGAUAGCAGCUCUAGGCCGGGUUAACUGAUUGAUUUUGGAAUUUAUGAUGAUAUGAACUUGGGAUUUUACCUUGUUGCAUAUGAUGACAUUGGGGGCAUUUCCUGCCAAAAGGCUUGCAACUCAUCUAGUCACAUUUGUAGUUUCACUCGGGUCAUCAGUAAGCACCCAAUCUUUUGGACUACAGGCCCUACUUUUUCCGAGUCUCCGUUUGUCCCAAAGGAAGAAAGUUUAUAUAAUAGUCGCAUACAUAUUCGACAAAAUGCCGUAGCAGAUCACAUUCACCAGCUCACAAGAAUUGAAGUGGUCUCUUGCAUUCUUUGAAUUUGUCGGUUGCUUAAUACUUUUACACCUAAUAGGCUUUUUAGCCUUCCAUGACGCAGUAAUUUCCUUUGUUGAAGUUAAGACAUUAUAUAAUAGGUUUACUGUAAUCAUAUAGCCUGAAUUUUGUCUCCAACAAUUUAGUUAAUGAGUUUCAGAAACUAUGUCAUUGACCAUGUCA
Rosa rugosa (rugosa rose) is the source of this 1677-nucleotide long non-coding RNA. RefSeq lists it as uncharacterized. NCBI's taxonomy places the organism in Eukaryota, Viridiplantae, Streptophyta, Magnoliopsida, Rosales, Rosaceae. The transcript has 2 exons. The record is from RefSeq and is a predicted model, not a curated record.